Long non-coding RNA from Mastomys coucha (southern multimammate mouse), 461 nucleotides. RefSeq lists it as uncharacterized. The transcript has 3 exons. NCBI's taxonomy places the organism in Eukaryota, Metazoa, Chordata, Mammalia, Rodentia, Muridae. The record is from RefSeq and is a predicted model, not a curated record.
GCAUAACUGUAUCUUCAGGAUUUCACACUGAUGCUAGCCCAUCAACCUUCCAGCAAUCCUCUUCUAAAGUAGAUGAUCUAUAAACAGUUCUUGUGAUGUAGAUGAUCCAUACAUAGCUCUCAAGAUGCUAUGGAAUUGCUACCACAAAAGAAUGGACUUAACGGGGUUCUCAAGAAGAGGGAACUGCAAUGACAAAUUUGGGAACAGGAGACAUGAAGAAGGGAGACAAGACAAAAAUUUUUCUGAUCAAGUCUCAAUUUACUCUACGGAAAAGCACCAUUUAAAACUCCAGACCACAAAGAAUAUAACCAACAGAAAUAUUGUGAAAAACUCCUUCAAUAAAGGCAAGGCCUUUAUGUGAAGCUGGAUCUUCAUGAACUAUAAGUCAAUUCAUACAGAAACUGUACAUAUGUAAUGACUGAGGAAGAACAUUUUCAAAUAUAUAAACCUGAAAAGAGAAA